RNAcentral lists this ribosomal RNA (462 nucleotides) under uncultured bacterium. RNAcentral's name for it is "bacterial SSU rRNA". It matches the Rfam family "Bacterial small subunit ribosomal RNA", at positions 340 to 786 of the family's 1533-position model. The record is from RNAcentral.
UACGGAAGGCAGCAGUGGGGAAUAUUGCACAAUGGGCGCAAGCCUGAUGCAGCCAUGCCGCGUGUAUGAAAAGGCCUUCGGGUUGUAAAGUACUUUCAGUCGUGAGGAAGGUGUUAAGGUUAAUAACCUUAGCAAUUGACGUUAGCGACAGAAGAAGCACCGGCUAACUCCGUGCCAGCAGCCGCGGUAAUACGGAGGGUGCGAGCGUUAAUCGGAAUUACUGGGCGUAAAGGGCACGCAGGCGGUUAAAUUAAGUUGGAUGUGAAAUCCCCGGGCUUAAACCUGGGAAUGGCAUUUCAAAGACUGGUUAGCUAGAGUCUUGUAGAGGGGGUAGAAUUCCAUGUGUAGCGGUGAAAUGCGUAGAGAUGUGGAGGAAUACCGGUGGCGAAAGGCGGCCCCUGGACAAAAGACUGACGCUCAUGUGCGAAAAGCGUGGGGAGCAAAAACAGGGAUUAAGAUACC